ACUAGAGUAGCACUCGCAUAUCAAUAAGCGGAGGAAAAGAAAACUAACAAGGAUUCCCCUAGUAACGGCGAGUGAAGCGGGAAGAGCUCAAAUUUGAAAUCUUAAAGGGUUUCCCUUUACGAAUUGUAGUUUAAGAGAAGUGUUUUCUGUUGAGGUUUUGGUAAAAGUUCUUUGGAAUAGGACAUCAUAGAGGGUGAGAAUCCCGUAUUUGACCUUUACUUUCAACUUUGUGAUACACUUUCAAAGAGUCGGAUUGUUUGGGAAUGCAGUCCAAAAUGGGUGGUAAAUUUCAUCUAAAGCUAAAUAUUGGCGAGAGACCGAUAGCGAACAAGUACCGUGAGGGAAAGAUGAAAAGAACUUUGAAAAGAGAGUUAAACAGUACGUGAAAUUGUCAAAAGGGAAGCGUUUGACACCAGUGUUGUUUUUCUGAAAAUCAAUUAAAGAACUGUUUAUGCUAAGUUGUUUAGACUUUAUCAGCUAAUCUGCUUAGUUUUUGAGCUUUUCUUUAAUGCACUUUUCAGUUAACAAGUCAACAUCAAUUUCUUUUGCUGUAAAAAAGCUUGAGGAAGGUGGCUUGAGAUUCGUCUUAAGUGUUUAUAGCCUCUUGCCUAUGCAGUCGGAGAGAUUGAGGUCUGCAGCGUAGAUCCUUCGGGGCUAAAUGCAUUUGUGCUAAGUUAUAGCAUUUUAUAGACAACUUGUUGACUAUGAUUUGUCUUGUAGCUUACUCGCUUAUGUUAUUUUACCUACGCUUAGGAUGUUGAACUACUGAGACAUAGA
This 777-nucleotide ribosomal RNA is filed under the name uncultured Neocallimastigales. RNAcentral describes it as "partial large subunit ribosomal RNA". It matches the Rfam family "Eukaryotic large subunit ribosomal RNA", at positions 20 to 644 of the family's 3401-position model. Lineage: Eukaryota; Fungi; Neocallimastigomycota; Neocallimastigomycetes; Neocallimastigales. The record is from RNAcentral.